GGAGAAGGACCUUCUAGCUAGACCAUCACCCAUUCAAGUUACCCAAUUUCGUGCAACUUUCUGUUUUAGUUUUUAGUUUACUUGGUUUAUUUUAAAUUCGUCCAAAACCCAAUCCCCCUUUACUUUGAAGUGUUCAAUUAGUUAGAAUCUGUUUUAGUUUGUGUUUUUAAGUGUUUUGAGUUAAGUAGAAGUCAAUUUUCGUCCAAAGUUGUUGUUAGUGUCUAAUUUGAGUCUAUUUAGUUGUUUUGUGCUAUUUUGAGUCUUUUAAGUUUGUUUUGAGUCUUAUGAGUCUUGUUAAGUGUUUUUAAGUUUAUUUUUGUGUUUCUAAGUCAGUUUAGUUUAGAUUAGCAAUCCAUCCUAAUCCCCGGUCCAGAACGAUACCUACUUAUACAUAUACUACAAUUGUCAAAAGAGGGUUUAAUUUGUGUGUUAGUUUUUAACGCACCAGGGCCUAAUUUCUAGUUAUUACUAAAAUUAGGGUAAAAUAUAUAGUAUAAUAUUUGACUCAUCAUUUGACACACCCCGACCCAAAUCAGGGCAUGCUGGCGUCACAUGAGGGUGACGUAGCCAUGUGCACUAUGCGGAAGCAAUAAUGAUAAUAGAGAAUACGAAUAAAUAAAAACCAACUCAUAAGAGUACUAGCUAAGAUAAGUGCUAGAAAAUGUGUGAAUACAC
This 675-nucleotide long non-coding RNA is filed under the name Malus domestica (apple). Its description in RNAcentral is "long non-coding RNA (MDOM_LNC000058)". The record is from RNAcentral. Lineage: Eukaryota; Viridiplantae; Streptophyta; Magnoliopsida; Rosales; Rosaceae.